CCGGUCGAACCGCAAGGGAAGCUCGACCGUAAACGGUAAAACUAGUAACUAGGGCU
RNAcentral lists this ribosomal RNA (56 nucleotides) under uncultured bacterium. RNAcentral describes it as "partial 16S ribosomal RNA". The record is from RNAcentral.